GGUACAGUUUGUACAGGAUAGGUAGGAGCCUUAGAAGCGUGAGCGCUAGCUUACGUGGAGGCAUUGGUGGGAUACUACCCUAAUUGUAUUGGAUUUCUAACCCGCAGCACUUAUCGUGCUGGGAGACAGUGUCAGGCGGGCAGUUUGACUGGGGCGGUCGCCUCCUAAAGAGUAACGGAGGCGCUCAAAGGUUCCCUCAGAAUGGUUGGAAAUCAUUCAUAGAGUGUAAAGGCAUAAGGGAGCUUGACUGCGAGACCUACAAGUCGAGCAGGGUCGAAAGACGGACUUAGUGAUCCGGUGGUUCCGCAUGGAAGGGCCAUCGCUCAACGGAUAAAAGCUACCCCGGGGAUAACAGGCUUAUCUCCCCCAAGAGUUCACAUCGACGGGGAGGUUUGGCACCUCGAUGUCGGCUCAUCGCAUCCUGGGGCUGUAGUCGGUCCCAAGGGUUGGGCUGUUCGCCCAUUAAAGCGGUACGCGAGCUGGGUUCAGAACGUCGUGAGACAGUUCGGUCCCUAUCCGUCGUGGGCGUAGGAAAUUUGAGAGGAGCUGUCCUUAGUACGAGAGGACCGG
Molecule: ribosomal RNA, 570 nt
Filed under: Staphylococcus pseudintermedius
Lineage: Bacteria; Bacillati; Bacillota; Bacilli; Caryophanales; Staphylococcaceae
Description: partial 23S ribosomal RNA
Rfam family: Bacterial large subunit ribosomal RNA
Source: RNAcentral